RNAcentral lists this ribosomal RNA (447 nucleotides) under uncultured Streptococcus sp. Its description in RNAcentral is "bacterial SSU rRNA". It matches the Rfam family "Bacterial small subunit ribosomal RNA", at positions 930 to 1382 of the family's 1533-position model. The record is from RNAcentral. Lineage: Bacteria; Bacillati; Bacillota; Bacilli; Lactobacillales; Streptococcaceae.
CGGUGGAGCAUGUGGUUUAAUUCGAAGCAACGCGAAGAACCUUACCAGGUCUUGACAUCCCGAUGCUAUUCUAGAGAUAGAAGUUACUUCGGUACAUCGGUGACAGGUGGUGCAUGGUUGUCGUCAGCUCGUGUCGUGAGAUGUUGGGUUAAGUCCCGCAACGAGCGCAACCCCUAUUGUUAGUUGCCAUCAUUCAGUUGGGCACUCUAGCGAGACUGCCGGUAAUAAACCGGAGGAAGUGGGAUGACGUCAAAUCAUCAUGCCCCUUAUGACCUGGGCUACACACGUGCUACAAUGGUUGGUACAACGAGUUGCGAGUCGGUGACGGCGAGCUAAUCUCUUAAAGCCAAUCUCAGUUCGGAUUGUAGGCUGCAACUCGCCUACAUGAAGUCGGAAUCGCUAGUAAUCGCGGAUCAGCACGCCGCGGUGAAUACGUUCCCGGGCCUU